GAGGGUAUAGUUCAGUGGUAGAGUGCAUGCUUAGCAUGCACAAGGUCCUGGGUUCAAUCCCCAGUACCUCCA
RNAcentral lists this transfer RNA (72 nucleotides) under Camelus bactrianus (Bactrian camel). It matches the Rfam family "tRNA". Rfam says of the family: Transfer RNA (tRNA) molecules are approximately 80 nucleotides in length. Their secondary structure includes four short double-helical elements and three loops (D, anti-codon, and T loops). The record is from Rfam by way of RNAcentral. RNAcentral also lists the same sequence under 2 other names. Lineage: Eukaryota; Metazoa; Chordata; Mammalia; Artiodactyla; Camelidae.